Molecule: ribosomal RNA, 487 nt
Filed under: uncultured bacterium
Lineage: Bacteria
Description: bacterial SSU rRNA
Rfam family: Bacterial small subunit ribosomal RNA
Source: RNAcentral
UUGAACGCUGGCGGCAUGCCUAACACAUGCAAGUCGAACGGCAGCACAGCAGUAGCAAUACUGUGGGUGGCGAGUGGCGGACGGGUGAGGAAUACGUCGGAAUCUGCCCAGUCGUGGGGGAUAACUAGCCGAAAGGUUAGCUAAUACCGCAUACGACCGAGAGGUGAAAGCGGGGACCGCAAGGCCUCGCGCGAUUGGAUGAGCCGACGUCGGAUUAGCUAGUUGGCGGGGUAAAGGCCCACCAAGGCGACGAUCCGUAGCUGGUCUGAGAGGAUGAUCAGCCACACUGGAACUGAGACACGGUCCAGACUCCUACGGGAGGCAGCAGUGGGGAAUAUUGGACAAUGGGCGCAAGCCUGAUCCAGCAAUGCCGCGUGUGUGAAGAAGGCCUUCGGGUUGUAAAGCACUUUAUCAGGAACGAAAAGCGUUGGAUUAAUACUCUGACGUGCUGACGGUACCUGAGGAAUAAGCACCGGCUAACUUCGUG